UGGGGAAUAUUGCACAAUGGGCGAAAGCCUGAUGCAGCGACGCCGCGUGAGGGAUGACGGCCUUCGGGUUGUAAACCUCUUUCAGUAGGGACGAAGCGCAAGUGACGGUACCUGCAGAAGAAGCACCGGCUAACUAUGUGCCAGCAGCCGCGGUAAUACGUAGGGUGCGAGCGUUGUCCGGAAUUACUGGGCGUAAAGAGCUCGUAGGCGGUUUGUCACGUCGUCUGUGAAAUCCUAGGGCUUAACCCUGGACGUGCAGGCGAUACGGGCUGACUUGAGUACUACAGGGGAGACUGGAAUUUCUGGUGUAGCGGUGGAAUGCACAGAUAUCAGGAAGAACACCGAUGGCGAAGGCAGGUCUCUGGGUAGUAACUGACGCUGAGGAGCGAAAGCAUGGGUAGCGAACAGG
This 409-nucleotide ribosomal RNA is filed under the name bacterium. RNAcentral's name for it is "partial 16S ribosomal RNA". It matches the Rfam family "Bacterial small subunit ribosomal RNA", at positions 355 to 776 of the family's 1533-position model. The record is from RNAcentral.